This 443-nucleotide ribosomal RNA is filed under the name uncultured bacterium. Its description in RNAcentral is "SSU rRNA". It matches the Rfam family "Bacterial small subunit ribosomal RNA", at positions 26 to 517 of the family's 1533-position model. The record is from RNAcentral.
AGAGCGAACGCUGACGGCAGGCUUAACACAUGCAAGUCGAGCGGGCGUAGCAAUACGUCAGCGGCAGACGGGUGAGUAACGCGUGGGAACAUACCUUUUGGUUCGGAACAACACAGGGAAACUUGUGCUAAUACCGGAUAAGCCCUUACGGGGAAAGAUUUAUCGCCGAAAGAUUGGCCCGCGUCUGAUUAGCUAGUUGGUGGGGUAACGGCCCACCAAGGCGACGAUCAGUAGCUGGUCUGAGAGGAUGAUCAGCCACAUUGGGACUGAGACACGGCCCAAAACUCCUACGGGAGGCAGCAGUGGGGAAUAUUGGACAAUGGGCGAAAGCCUGAUCCAGCCAUGCCGCGUGAGUGAUGAAGGCCCUAGGGUUGUAAAGCUCUUUUGUGCGGGAAGAUAAUGACGUACCGCAAGAUAAGCCCGGCUAACUCGCGCAGCAGCCG